RNAcentral lists this ribosomal RNA (256 nucleotides) under uncultured bacterium. Its description in RNAcentral is "partial 16S ribosomal RNA". It matches the Rfam family "Bacterial small subunit ribosomal RNA", at positions 524 to 776 of the family's 1533-position model. The record is from RNAcentral.
UACGGGGGGAGCAAGCGUUGUUCGGAUUUACUGGGCGUAAAGGGCGCGUAGGCGGUCGUGACAAGUCACUUGUGAAAUCUCCGGGUUAACUCGGAACGGUCAAGUGAUACUGUCGGACUAGAGUACAGAAGGGGCAACUGGAAUUCUCGGGUGUAGCGGUGAAAAUGCGUAGAGAUCGGAAAAGAACACCAACGGCGAAAGCACUCUGCUGGGCCGACACUGACACUGAGAGACGAAAGCUAGGGGAGCGAAUGGG